UACGAAGGGGGCUAGCGUUGUUCGGAAUUACUGGGCGUAAAGCGCGCGUAGGCGGGUUGGUAAGUCCGCUGUGAAAGCCCGGAGCUUAACUCCGGAGGGUCGGUGGAUACUGCCAGUCUUGAAGGUGCUAGGGGGGAGAUGGAAUUACCGGUGUAGCGGUGAAAUGCGUAGAUAUCGGGAGGAACACCUGUGGCGAAAGCGGCUCACUGGACCACAACUGACGCUGAGGCGCGAAAAGCUAGGGGAGCAAACAGGG
Molecule: ribosomal RNA, 256 nt
Filed under: uncultured bacterium
Lineage: Bacteria
Description: partial 16S ribosomal RNA
Rfam family: Bacterial small subunit ribosomal RNA
Source: RNAcentral